Molecule: small RNA, 138 nt
Filed under: Sinorhizobium meliloti 2011
Lineage: Bacteria; Pseudomonadati; Pseudomonadota; Alphaproteobacteria; Hyphomicrobiales; Rhizobiaceae
Description: putative ncRNA
Source: RNAcentral
ACUACCCGUAAUCAAUGACUACCUGCAGCGAUGGAACUCUGUCGCGCGUUCGUAAGUCGUCCGGGUCCGAAGGGCGCUCCCCGAAAGUGUCGUGCGCCCUUCGUCAUUUCGGGAGGGGUCGACGACGCUGCGACGAUA